This is a long non-coding RNA of Eurytemora carolleeae, 416 nucleotides long. RefSeq lists it as uncharacterized. The transcript is spliced from 2 exons. The record is from RefSeq and is a predicted model, not a curated record. NCBI's taxonomy places the organism in Eukaryota, Metazoa, Arthropoda, Copepoda, Calanoida, Temoridae.
AAUUGCUCUUCUCUGUGGAUGAUAGAGGGUGGCUGAUCUAUAGAAGAUCCCCAGAAUAGAACAACUUGUACAUACACCUAGGAUGAAUGAGCUUGAACCUGUAAUAGCUUGAAGGCCUAAUCUCCAUCCGACCUCCUUUAGUGUUGAUCUCAUGAAUACACUGAUAAUAAUAAUACCCAACCCACUCCCAGCUACAACAACAACCUAGAUAAAUACAAUAAUAAUAAUAAUACCCAACCCACUCCCAGCUACAACAACAACCUAGAUAAAUACAAUAAUAAUAAUAAUACCCAACCCACUCCCAGCUACAACAACAACCUAGAUAAAUACAAUAAUAAUAAUAAUACCCAACCCACUCCCAGCUACAACAACAACCUAGAUAAAUACAAUAAUAAUAAUAAUACCCAACCCACUCC